RNAcentral lists this ribosomal RNA (499 nucleotides) under uncultured bacterium. RNAcentral describes it as "partial 16S ribosomal RNA". It matches the Rfam family "Bacterial small subunit ribosomal RNA", at positions 28 to 507 of the family's 1533-position model. The record is from RNAcentral.
GACGAACGCUGGCGGCGUGCCUAAUACAUGCAAGUCGAGCGAAGUUUUUCUGGUGCUUGCACCGGAAAAACUUAGCGGCGAACGGGUGAGUAACACGUAAAGAACCUGCCUCAUAGACUGGGACAACUAUUGGAAACGAUAGCUAAUACCGGAUAAUAGCAUUAACUGCAUGGUUGAUGUUUAAAAGUUGGUUUUGCUAACACUAUGAGAUGGCUUUGCGGUGCAUUAGCUGGUUGGUGGGGUAAAGGCCUACCAAGGCGACGAUGCAUAGCCGACCUGAGAGGGUGAUCGGCCACACUGGGACUGAGACACGGCCCAGACUCCUACGGGAGGCAGCAGUAGGGAAUCUUCCGCAAUGGGCGAAAGCCUGACGGAGCAACGCCGCGUGAGUGAAGAAGGAUUUCGGUUCGUAAAGCUCUGUUGUUAGGGAAGAAUGAUUGUGUAGUAACUAUACACAGUAGAGACGGUACCUAACCAGAAAGCCACGGCUAACUACGUG